CAGCCGCCGCGGUAAUACGUAGGGUGCGAGCGUUAAUCGGAAUUACUGGGCGUAAAGCGUGCGCAGGCGGUUAUAUAAGACAGAUGUGAAAUCCCCGGGCUCAACCUGGGAACUGUAUUUGAGACUGUAUGGCUAGAGUGUGUCAGAGGGGGGUAGAAUUCCACGUGUAGCAGUGAAAUGCGUAGAUAUGUGGAGGAACACCGAUGGCGAAGGCAAUCCCCUGGACCUGUACUGACGCUCAUGCACGAAAGCGUGGGGAGCAAACAGGAUUAGAUACCCGCGUAGUCCCUGUCUCUUAUAC
RNAcentral lists this ribosomal RNA (301 nucleotides) under uncultured bacterium. RNAcentral's name for it is "partial 16S ribosomal RNA". It matches the Rfam family "Bacterial small subunit ribosomal RNA", at positions 509 to 807 of the family's 1533-position model. The record is from RNAcentral.